UGUGCUUGGGUUGAUUCUGUGCAGCCAUUUCAUUUUUCUUGUUAAGAAUGAGCAACACGGGCUAGAGAGAUGGCUCAGCUGUUAAGGCUAGGCUCACAACUAAAAAUACA
This 110-nucleotide microRNA precursor is filed under the name Mus pahari (shrew mouse). Its description in RNAcentral is "miRNA (MGP_PahariEiJ_G0007753.1)". Lineage: Eukaryota; Metazoa; Chordata; Mammalia; Rodentia; Muridae. The record is from RNAcentral.